AACUCAAUGAAGUUAUAAAAAGAGAGAGAUACAGACGAUAGAGAGAAGGGAGGAAUUUGGAGGCGUGGCGGUGACGACGUGAAGGCGUAGGAUCGCGAUUCCGCUCAUACCCUGGUAAGCGUUAAAUCUCCAACCUUUUUAUUGGCGAUUUAAGACCGGUCUACAUUCUGACGAAUUAAGUUGUUUAGGGUUGUUUCAGAAAUCCGAUCAAGUUGUUUAGGGUUGUUUAAGAUACAGGCGUUUCCGGAUUGGAGGUCAAUACUUCUUCCACACAAGAAGAGACUGUUUGGGUUGAGUGUCUUUCAUUGAUUUUUGCAACCAUGAACUGAAGGCUGCAGCAACAUGGAAAGUUGAUGGAGCAGGAUCAUCAAACAUUACCGAAGGGGCCCGAUAACACAUCCAUAUUUCAAAUUUUGUAUUACAGAGAUGGACAAAUUUCUUGAAAAGUUUGCCACUACUAGAAUUCCAGUGACGAUGGUGGCUCUGUGAUGGUGAAUCCUGGCGGCAUCAUCUGCAAAUAUGUGUGGUCGACAGUGGCGAUCAAUGGGACCAUAAGAGGGCUGAAGCCGGUCUAACAACAACAGCAAUUGGCGGCUACACGGGUGUCAAGAGGCAGCUGAUCUGGUGGAAUAGGCGGUUGAUCUGGCGGUUAUGUGAGAGCGUUAAAGGCUGCAUUUAGUGACCAAACGACAGCGAAGAACAUCGGUAUUGAGCUACUAAAAUAGUGCAGUGAACCCGACAGCAACGUCGUGCAUUCAGGCGCGCUUUUGGGAUCAAAACAUUUAGUGUUUGGGUUCAUAACCGGUUUUCGGGUUCGGGUUGUGUUCGGGUUUGUGUCAGAUUUUCAGGUUCGCGCCGCAUUGGGCCAGUAUGGUACGUUUGUUUUAAAAGCUGGUUGAAUAGAAGUCUCAAAUGGGUUUGGCUUAAUAAGAGGCGCAAACAAGUUGCACAAGAACUUAGAAAAGCACAAGAAAAGAUCCCAUUAGUGAAGAAAAAGUCCGAGGCAGCAGAAGAAUCGAAACAACAUGUCUUGAAGGAGCUCAACAAUGCAAAGCGGCUUGCACAAGAACUUAGAAAAGCACAAGAAGAGAUCCCAUUACUGAAGAAAAAGUCCGAGGCAACAGAAGAAUCGAAACAUGUCUUGAAGGAGCUCGACAAUGCAAAGCGGCGUCUAGAGAAACUGAAACUAAUUGUUGACAGCGCAGAAAAAGAAGAGAGCCAAGCAAAACAAGAUGCUCAACUUACAAAUCUAAGAGUGGAAGAAGAUAAUCAAAAUCUAAGAGUGGAAGAAGAUAAUCGCUCUGAUGUUUCCGUUUAAAAUAUAUAUCUAUGAGUUCCAUACUAUUCACCUAUUGAAACAUGUUAACUCAAGACCGAUCCUUUUCAUUUCAA
This is a long non-coding RNA of Helianthus annuus (common sunflower), 1392 nucleotides long. RefSeq lists it as uncharacterized. The record is from RefSeq and is a predicted model, not a curated record. Lineage: Eukaryota; Viridiplantae; Streptophyta; Magnoliopsida; Asterales; Asteraceae. The transcript is spliced from 5 exons.